Molecule: non-coding RNA, 117 nt
Organism: Westerdykella ornata
Lineage: Eukaryota; Fungi; Ascomycota; Dothideomycetes; Pleosporales; Sporormiaceae
Source: the annotation of a RefSeq genome assembly
GCCCUUAUAGCUCAGUGGUAGAGCGCAGCACUUGUACCUUGAAUUCGUAUGCUUGUAUGCAGAAAUUCAUGCAAAGGUGAAAUGCUGAGGUCUUGAGUUCAAUCCUCAAUGGGGGCA